RNAcentral lists this ribosomal RNA (969 nucleotides) under Lactiplantibacillus plantarum. Its description in RNAcentral is "bacterial SSU rRNA". It matches the Rfam family "Bacterial small subunit ribosomal RNA", at positions 549 to 1533 of the family's 1533-position model. The record is from RNAcentral. Lineage: Bacteria; Bacillati; Bacillota; Bacilli; Lactobacillales; Lactobacillaceae.
AUUUAUUGGGCGUAAAGCGAGCGCAGGCGGUUUUUUAAGUCUGAUGUGAAAGCUUUCGGCUCAACCGAAGAAGUGCAUCGGAAACUGGGAAACUUGAGUGCAGAAGAGGACAGUGGAACUCCAUGUGUAGCGGUGAAAUGCGUAGAUAUAUGGAAGAACACCAGUGGCGAAGGCGGCUGUCUGGUCUGUAACUGACGCUGAGGCUCGAAAGUAUGGGUAGCAAACAGGAUUAGAUACCCUGGUAGUCCAUACCGUAAACGAUGAAUGCUAAGUGUUGGAGGGUUUCCGCCCUUCAGUGCUGCAGCUAACGCAUUAAGCAUUCCGCCUGGGGAGUACGGCCGCAAGGCUGAAACUCAAAGGAAUUGACGGGGGCCCGCACAAGCGGUGGAGCAUGUGGUUUAAUUCGAAGCUACGCGAAGAACCUUACCAGGUCUUGACAUACUAUGCAAAUCUAAGAGAUUAGACGUUCCCUUCGGGGACAUGGAUACAGGUGGUGCAUGGUUGUCGUCAGCUCGUGUCGUGAGAUGUUGGGUUAAGUCCCGCAACGAGCGCAACCCUUAUUAUCAGUUGCCAGCAUUAAGUUGGGCACUCUGGUGAGACUGCCGGUGACAAACCGGAGGAAGGUGGGGAUGACGUCAAAUCAUCAUGCCCCUUAUGACCUGGGCUACACACGUGCUACAAUGGAUGGUACAACGAGUUGCGAACUCGCGAGAGUAAGCUAAUCUCUUAAAGCCAUUCUCAGUUCGGAUUGUAGGCUGCAACUCGCCUACAUGAAGUCGGAAUCGCUAGUAAUCGCGGAUCAGCAUGCCGCGGUGAAUACGUUCCCGGGCCUUGUACACACCGCCCGUCACACCAUGAGAGUUUGUAACACCCAAAGUCGGUGGGGUAACCUUUUAGGAACCAGCCGCCUAAGGUGGGACAGAUGAUUAGGGGAAGUCGAGCAGACUGCCGGUUAAGGUCUUGUUUUUC